GGCAUCAUAGAGGGUGAUAAUCCCGUACAUGGCAUGGAGCGCCCGAAGCUUUGUGAUACGCUUUCUAAGAGUCGAGUUGUUUGGGAAUGCAGCUCAAAAUGGGUGGUAAAUGCCAUCUAAGGCUAAAUAUUGGGGAGAGACCGAUAGCGAACAAGUACAGUGAUGGAAAGAUGAAAAGAACUUUGAAAAGAGAGUUAAACAGUACGUGAAAUUGCCAAAAGGGAAGGGUAGGAGGUCAGAGAUGCGGCCUGGGAUUCAGCCUUGCUUUUGCUUGGUGUUUUUCCCAGAUUGCAGGCCAACGUCGGUUUUGGGCACUGGAGAAGGGUAGGAGGAACGUGGCACCUCUCGGGGUGUGUUAUAGCCUCCUACUGGAUACAGCGACCGAGACCGAGGACAGCAGCGUACUCGCAAGAGCGGGCCUUCGGGCACCUUUACGCUUAGGGCGUUGGCAUAAUGGCCCUCUACCAC
RNAcentral lists this ribosomal RNA (468 nucleotides) under Dirkmeia churashimaensis. RNAcentral describes it as "partial large subunit ribosomal RNA". It matches the Rfam family "Eukaryotic large subunit ribosomal RNA", at positions 199 to 648 of the family's 3401-position model. The record is from RNAcentral. Lineage: Eukaryota; Fungi; Basidiomycota; Ustilaginomycetes; Ustilaginales; Ustilaginaceae.